RNAcentral lists this ribosomal RNA (104 nucleotides) under Chrysemys picta bellii (western painted turtle). The record is from RNAcentral. Lineage: Eukaryota; Metazoa; Chordata; Testudines; Emydidae.
AGUUAUAAUUGCACCAGGUUGUUUGUAGAAAAGUUCUAAGCAAUGUUGGGCUAGGUCAUUAUUGGGAUGGGAAACCUCCAAGGAAUACCUAGGUACUACAAGAA